AACCGCUGAAGGCAUCUAAGCGGGAAGCCCCCCUCAAAACAAGGUAUCCCCGAGGGCCGUGGUAGACCACCACGUCGAUAGGCCGGAGAUGUAAGCGCAGCAAUGCGUUCAGUUGACCGGUACUAAUUGCCCGAUAGGCUUGAUUUG
This 147-nucleotide ribosomal RNA is filed under the name Rhodovulum adriaticum. Its description in RNAcentral is "Bacterial large subunit ribosomal RNA". It matches the Rfam family "Bacterial large subunit ribosomal RNA", at positions 2766 to 2925 of the family's 2925-position model. The record is from Rfam by way of RNAcentral. Lineage: Bacteria; Pseudomonadati; Pseudomonadota; Alphaproteobacteria; Rhodobacterales; Paracoccaceae.